This 136-nucleotide small RNA is filed under the name Heterosigma akashiwo. RNAcentral's name for it is "partial transfer-messenger RNA". Lineage: Eukaryota; Raphidophyceae; Chattonellales; Chattonellaceae. The record is from RNAcentral.
UUGAGACAGUUUUAGAAUUUUUAAAUAAAGGUCUUAUGUUUUAAAUCUUUGAUUGUCGUACAAUCGGAAACAGUCUAAGCGGCUAGAGUUCUUGCCUAGCUUUUUUGGACGCUUCUCCCGCGGGUUCGAGUCCCGC